RNAcentral lists this non-coding RNA (777 nucleotides) under Epiophlebia superstes. Lineage: Eukaryota; Metazoa; Arthropoda; Insecta; Odonata; Epiophlebiidae. The record is from RNAcentral.
UAAAAGUUUUAUCCUUCCUAUUGUAUUUUCUUUAUGAUUAUUUUACAUGUAAGUUCUUGCAUUUACUAUUAUUUCUAAAAGAAAUAAUAAGUGUUAUAAGCAGUAAUACGUAUUAUUCUUGGGAUUACUCCUGAAAUAGUAAUUUAUAUAUUACCGGUUAAAUUCGUGCCAGCCACCGCGGUUAGACGAGAGUGUAAUAGAAAAUAUUAUUGGUUUAGCAGUUAUUUUUUAAUUAAUUUAUUAUAUCAUUAAUUUUUAGGUGGAAUUUAUAAUUUUUGUUUAUUUAUUUAUUUUUAAAAGAAGCUGUGAAAUUUAUAAUAAAAAUGAGGAUUAGAUACCCUUUUAUUUUAAAUGUAAACAUAAACCUGGGUAGUAAUAGUUAUGUUCUUGAAACUCUAAGGAUUUGGUGGUAUUUUAGUCUCUUUAGAGGAACCUGUCCCUUAAUCGAUAGUCCACGAUUUAAUUUACUUAUUUUUGUUUUCAGUUUGUAUACCUCCGUCAUAAGAAUAUCUUUUUAGAGUAAAUUUUCUUUUUAUUAUAAAUAUAAUAUGUCAGGUCAAGGUGCAGUUUAUGGAUAAGUGGAGGUGGGUUACAAUAAAAUUAUUUAUAUGGAUUAGAAUUUUAAAAUUAUUUUAUGAAGGUGGAUUUAAUGGUAAUUUUAAUUUUUUAUUAAUUUGACCAGAGCUCUAAAAUAUGCACACAUCGCCCAUCGCUCUCAUUAUUAAAAUGAGAUAAGUCGUAACAGUAGGUGUAUCAGAAGAUGUACCUAGUUGGAAA